This 78-nucleotide microRNA precursor is filed under the name Schistosoma margrebowiei. RNAcentral describes it as "mir-3492 microRNA precursor family". It matches the Rfam family "mir-3492 microRNA precursor family". The record is from Rfam by way of RNAcentral. Lineage: Eukaryota; Metazoa; Platyhelminthes; Trematoda; Strigeidida; Schistosomatidae.
AGCUUUUCAAAUCCGUGUUGAGAUUUCGUCACACACCAACCCAUUAGGACUGAUCGGACUUCCAAGAUAAGUGAAGUU